Small nuclear RNA from Phacochoerus africanus (Common warthog), 102 nucleotides. NCBI's taxonomy places the organism in Eukaryota, Metazoa, Chordata, Mammalia, Artiodactyla, Suidae. The record is from RefSeq and is a predicted model, not a curated record.
GCACUUCAGCAGCACCUCCACUAAAAGUGGAACCACACAGAGAUUAAGCGUUGUCCUUGCACAAGGAUGACCCAUAUACAUCCAUAUUUUUUAAAAAAUAUU